CAUUCUAAGACGGUUAUCUGGGACCGUCUUAGAAUGUGGCGCGGUGGCAAACUUGUAAUUAAGAUACUCGAAAUUUCUUUUUACAACACACAUUUUAAGACGGUUGUCAAUAACCGUCUUAGAAUA
RNAcentral lists this microRNA precursor (126 nucleotides) under Glycine max (soybean). RNAcentral describes it as "miR4405 stem-loop (gma-MIR4405)". The record is from miRBase by way of RNAcentral. Lineage: Eukaryota; Viridiplantae; Streptophyta; Magnoliopsida; Fabales; Fabaceae.